Molecule: ribosomal RNA, 113 nt
Filed under: Butis koilomatodon (mud sleeper)
Lineage: Eukaryota; Metazoa; Chordata; Actinopteri; Gobiiformes; Eleotridae
Description: partial 16S rRNA
Source: RNAcentral
AGACCCAACAACUAGCCCACCCCCCUUAAAACAACAAACAACAUCCAUAACCCCUAAAACCCCAUUAUAACUAAACAAACCAUUUUUCCCCCUUAGUACGGGCGACGGAAAAG